RNAcentral lists this ribosomal RNA (497 nucleotides) under uncultured bacterium. RNAcentral's name for it is "partial 16S ribosomal RNA". It matches the Rfam family "Bacterial small subunit ribosomal RNA", at positions 28 to 507 of the family's 1533-position model. The record is from RNAcentral.
GAUGAACGCUGGCGGCGUGCCUAAUACAUGCAAGUCGAGCGAACAGACGAGGAGCUUGCUCCUCUGACGUUAGCGGCGGACGGGUGAAUAACACGUGGAUAACCUACCUAUAAGACUGGGAUAACUUCGGGAAACCGGAGCUAAUACCGGAUAAUAUAUUGAACCGCAUGGUUCAAUAGUGAAAGACGGUUUUGCUGUCACUUAUAGAUGGAUCCGCGCCGCAUUAGCUAGUUGGUAAGGUAACGGCUUACCAAGGCAACGAUGCGUAGCCGACCUGAGAGGGUGAUCGGCCACACUGGAACUGAGACACGGUCCAGACUCCUACGGGAGGCAGCAGUAGGGAAUCUUCCGCAAUGGGCGAAAGCCUGACGGAGCAACGCCGCGUGAGUGAUGAAGGUCUUCGGAUCGUAAAACUCUGUUAUUAGGGAAGAACAAAUGUGUAAGUAACUAUGCACGUCUUGACGGUACCUAAUCAGAUAGCCACGGCUAACUACGUG